Molecule: transfer RNA, 90 nt
Filed under: Pelodiscus sinensis (Chinese soft-shelled turtle)
Lineage: Eukaryota; Metazoa; Chordata; Testudines; Trionychidae
Rfam family: tRNA
About the family: Transfer RNA (tRNA) molecules are approximately 80 nucleotides in length.
Source: Rfam by way of RNAcentral
CCUUAAAUAGCUCAGCUGGCAGAGUGGAGGACUGUAGUGUGUGUUUGGCAAGUGGUCCUUAGGUUGCUGGUUCAACUCUAGCUUGAAGGA